RNAcentral lists this transfer RNA (59 nucleotides) under Paratya australiensis. RNAcentral describes it as "tRNA-Tyr". Lineage: Eukaryota; Metazoa; Arthropoda; Malacostraca; Decapoda; Atyidae. The record is from RNAcentral.
GGCUGAGUAUUAGGCGAUAGAUUGUAAAUCUAUAUAGGAGGUUAAACCCUCUUUAACCA